GACGAACGCUGGCGGCGUGCCUAAUACAUGCAAGUUGAGCGCUGAAGGUUGGUACUUGUACCAACUGGAUGAGCAGCGAGCGGGUGAGUAACGCGUGGGGAAUCUGCCUUUGAGCGGGGGACAACAUUUGGAAACGAAUGCUAAUACCGCAUAAAAACUUUAAACACAAGUUUUAAGUUUGAAAGAUGCAAUUGCAUCACUCAAAGAUGAUCCCGCGUUGUAUUAGCUAGUUGGUGAGGUAAAGGCUCACCAAGGCGAUGAUACAUGGCCGACCUGAGAGGGUGAUCGGCCACAUUGGGACUGAGACACGGCCCAAACUCCUACGGGAGGCAGCAGUAGGGAAUCUUCGGCAAUGGACGAAAGUCUGACCGAGCAACGCCGCGUGAGUGAAGAAGGUUUUCGGAUCGUAAAACUCUGUUGGUAGAGAAGAACGUUGGUGAGAGUGGAAAGCUCAUCAAGUGACGGUAACUACCCAGAAAGGGACGGCUAACUACGUG
RNAcentral lists this ribosomal RNA (497 nucleotides) under uncultured bacterium. RNAcentral describes it as "partial 16S ribosomal RNA". It matches the Rfam family "Bacterial small subunit ribosomal RNA", at positions 28 to 507 of the family's 1533-position model. The record is from RNAcentral.